This 334-nucleotide ribosomal RNA is filed under the name uncultured bacterium. RNAcentral's name for it is "bacterial SSU rRNA". It matches the Rfam family "Bacterial small subunit ribosomal RNA", at positions 568 to 898 of the family's 1533-position model. The record is from RNAcentral.
UAGCGCAGGCGGCGCUUUAAGUCAGAUGUGAAAUACCCGGGCUUAACCUGGGGGGUGCAUUUGAAACUGGAGCACUUGAGUGCAGGAGAGGUAAGUGGGAAUUCCUAGUGUAGCGGUGAAAUGCGUAGAUAUUAGGAGGAACACCAGUGGCGAAGGCGACUUACUGGACUGUAACUGACGCUGAGGCACGAAAGCGUGGGGAGCAAACAGGAUUAGAUACCCUGGUAGUCCACGCUGUAAACGAUGGAUACUAGGUGUAGGGGGGCGAGUAGUCCUCUGUGCCGCAGCUAACGCAAUAAGUAUCCCGCCUGGGGAGUACGAUCGCAAGGUUGAA